This 595-nucleotide long non-coding RNA is filed under the name Nicotiana benthamiana. RNAcentral describes it as "long non-coding RNA (NBEN_LNC018890)". Lineage: Eukaryota; Viridiplantae; Streptophyta; Magnoliopsida; Solanales; Solanaceae. The record is from RNAcentral.
AUGUAUCCAUUUCACCCAUAGAGCAUCUUUCUUAUUGGCCAGAUCACACCCAAGUUUGUUGAUUGCAGCUUUGUUCCAUAAUAGCAGAUUCAUAACAUUUAAACCCCCAGCAGAUUUAGGCAGGCAGACUUUAUCCCAGGCUAUAUAUGAUUUUUUUGAUAUGUUGGCUGAUCCUGUCCAAACAUAGGAUCUACAUACAGCAUCCAGCAUCUUUAAUAUUUUGGAAGGAAUAAGGAAAAGCUGAGCCCAGUAUGCUUGUAUACCAAAAAUGACAGAUUGUACCAGCUAAACUCUCCCUGCAUAGGAAUGUCCAAACAUAGGAUCUACAUACAUCAUCCAGCAUCUUUUAUAUUUUUGAAGGAAUAAGGAAAAGCUGAGCCUAGUAUGCUUGUAUACCAAAAAUGAUAGAUUGUACCAGCUGAACUCUCCCUGCAUAGGAUAGUUUCCUAGCAGUCCAGGAUGUGAUCCUGGCAGUAACCUUAUCCACCAAUAGUUGCCAUUGUAGUAAUGACAUCUUCUUGGCUGAUAAGGGAACUCCCAAAUACUUGAAGGGUAAUUCUCCAUAUACAUAACCAAGAUGAUUGAUAAUGUGUUG